This 689-nucleotide ribosomal RNA is filed under the name Streptomyces sp. YIM 64828. RNAcentral's name for it is "bacterial SSU rRNA". It matches the Rfam family "Bacterial small subunit ribosomal RNA", at positions 97 to 800 of the family's 1533-position model. The record is from RNAcentral. Lineage: Bacteria; Bacillati; Actinomycetota; Actinomycetes; Kitasatosporales; Streptomycetaceae.
GGCGAACGGGUGAGUAACACGUGGGCAAUCUGCCCUUCACUCUGGGACAAGCCCUGGAAACGGGGUCUAAUACCGGAUAACACUCUGUCCUGCAUGGGACGGGGUUAAAAGCUCCGGCGGUGAAGGAUGAGCCCGCGGCCUAUCAGCUUGUUGGUGGGGUAAUGGCCUACCAAGGCGACGACGGGUAGCCGGCCUGAGAGGGCGACCGGCCACACUGGGACUGAGACACGGCCCAGACUCCUACGGGAGGCAGCAGUGGGGAAUAUUGCACAAUGGGCGAAAGCCUGAUGCAGCGACGCCGCGUGAGGGAUGACGGCCUUCGGGUUGUAAACCUCUUUCAGCAGGGAAGAAGCGAAAGUGACGGUACCUGCAGAAGAAGCGCCGGCUAACUACGUGCCAGCAGCCGCGGUAAUACGUAGGGCGCAAGCGUUGUCCGGAAUUAUUGGGCGUAAAGAGCUCGUAGGCGGCUUGUCACGUCGGAUGUGAAAGCCCGGGGCUUAACCCCGGGUCUGCAUUCGAUACGGGCUAGCUAGAGUGUGGUAGGGGAGAUCGGAAUUCCUGGUGUAGCGGUGAAAUGCGCAGAUAUCAGGAGGAACACCGGUGGCGAAGGCGGAUCUCUGGGCCAUUACUGACGCUGAGGAGCGAAAGCGUGGGGAGCGAACAGGAUUAGAUACCCUGGUAGUCCACGC